This 250-nucleotide ribosomal RNA is filed under the name uncultured bacterium. Its description in RNAcentral is "partial 16S ribosomal RNA". It matches the Rfam family "Bacterial small subunit ribosomal RNA", at positions 524 to 773 of the family's 1533-position model. The record is from RNAcentral.
UACGAAGGGAGCAAGCGUUAUUCGGAUUUACUGGGCGUAAAGGGCGCGUAGGCGGUAAACUAAGUCAGUUGUUAAAUUUCUCGGCUCAACCGGGAAUCAGCGAUUGAAACUGGUUUGCUAGAGUACAGGAGAGAGAAGUGGAAUUAUCGGAGUAGCGGUAAAAUGCGUAGAUCUCGAUAGGAACACCGAUGGCGAAGGCAGCUUCUUGGCCUGGUACUGACGCUGAGGCGCGAAAGCGUGGGGAGCAAAC